Long non-coding RNA from Platichthys flesus (European flounder), 362 nucleotides. RefSeq lists it as uncharacterized. The transcript has 3 exons. Lineage: Eukaryota; Metazoa; Chordata; Actinopteri; Pleuronectiformes; Pleuronectidae. The record is from RefSeq and is a predicted model, not a curated record.
CACAUGGACCAGUCGUAUGUCUGGUGCUGCAGGAACUCACCAUCUUGUCCGUGAAGCUCAUGGAUUCCCUGGAACACCAGAGCAGUUAAAGGAGGAAUGUGACGCUGUCAUUCUGAUUCACAUCUCUAUAAUGUUUGAGGUGACCCUAGUCCGUCCACACUGAGCUGUAACCUGAUAGGUUCACCUGAGAAAAGAUCCACUCUCUAUUGGCUGAUCAGAUUACAGAACGAGUGUCGGCCGAGUGAGGUUGAAUUAUUGAUGAAGGCGAGUCUCUCUUCUCUCAAACGGCGGCAGAGGAACGACAAGAACGAAAGAACAGAGAAGAAAGAAGGAGAAAAAGAACAGCAGAGGUUGAAAAAAAC